This 477-nucleotide ribosomal RNA is filed under the name uncultured bacterium. RNAcentral describes it as "partial 16S ribosomal RNA". It matches the Rfam family "Bacterial small subunit ribosomal RNA", at positions 30 to 507 of the family's 1533-position model. The record is from RNAcentral.
AUGAGCGCUGGCGGCGUGCCUAACCCAUGCAAGUCGAACGGAGUCCAGCCUUUAAGACCUUCGGGUCAAAGAGGGGAAGACUGAGUGGCGGACGGGUGAGUAACACGUGGGCAACCUGGCUCAUAGAGGGGGAUAACAGAGAGAAAUUUCUGCUAAUACCGCAUAAGCACACACUGCCGCAUGGCAGAGGGUGAAAAGAGAAUCGCUAUGAGAUGGACCCGCGUCUGAUUAGCCAGUUGGCAGGGUAAGAGCCUACCAAAGCGACGAUCAGUAGCCGAUCUGAGAGGAUGAACGGCCACAUUGGGACUGAGACACGGCCCAAACUCCUACGGGGGGCAGCAGUGGGGGAUAUUGCACAAUGGGGGGAACCCUGAUGCAGCGACGCCGCGUGAGUGAAGAAGUAUUUCGGUAUGUAAAGCUCUAUCAGCAGGGAAGAUAAUGACAGUACCUGAAGAAGAAGCCCCGGCUAACUACGUG